This 915-nucleotide long non-coding RNA is filed under the name Trifolium pratense (red clover). RNAcentral describes it as "long non-coding RNA (TPRA_LNC000012)". The record is from RNAcentral. Lineage: Eukaryota; Viridiplantae; Streptophyta; Magnoliopsida; Fabales; Fabaceae.
GGAACAUGUGUGUAUAUAUAAUCAUAAACAAAAAUAAAAACCAAAUAGAACAAAAAGACAAUAGGUGACUAAUGCAUUUAAGUAACAACAAUGUUUUAAAACAUGAGAUUAUUUUGAAAAGUCUUCAAAAUAAUAAACAUGAGAUUUAUUUACUGAAACCAAGAACUAAUAAACUGAAAACAAUACCUAAAGAAAAAAAAUGUGACUAUUGAGAUCUAUCGUUCACUAAGCACUAUUCACUCUCUCAUUCUCUUCUACUUCAUUGUAUUCCUAAGAGAAGAAUAAAGACCCAUAAACACAACAACAAAAGAUGGAAAUAUGAACAUUUUCAUAUCACAAUAAUUUUUUUGGAUGAAUCAGAUAAAAUUCUAAGAAUGAGACUUCUAAGGUUCAUGUUCAAUUAAGUACCUUCCUAAUUUAUAUUAUAAACCAAAUUGUUAUGGCUUGACAUAUUUAAAGGGAUAGUGAACCAACAAAGCCUUCUAAGAAUGAGACACUUAAGGUUCAUGUUCAGUUAAGAAAAAAAAUGGAGUGAAGAGAAGGACUCACCUUGUAAAUCAGAAUGCUAAGGGAAAACAUGGCAAGCCACUCCUUCAUCAUGGCAUUGCUAAUCUUGCUACAUUCUCUCAAUAAUAGUUAAUAGCAACUUUCCAACUUCAUUCUCGUUACUCGCCCUUCAAAAAAAUGAAUGUGUUAAAAAUGUCUGGGAGAGAAAUCCAACAAACAAAUUUAGGAUGGAGAUAAUAUGACAAACACAAUAGAAAGUAAUAGAGAGAGAGGAUAUCAGAUAAUUUUUUAAAAAAAGUAACGAAGAUAAGGAUAAACUGAUUUCUAACAAAAGAUAAAACUCAUACUAUGUAUUCUUUGAUAUCUAAAAAAGUAACGAAGAUAAAACUUAUCUAAACUAAAUUGAUA